GAUGAACGCUAGCGGCAGGCCUAACACGUGCAAGUCAGGGGGUAACAUAGGAAAGCUUGCUUUUUCUGAUGACGACCGGCGCACGGGUGCGUAACGCGUAUACAACCUACCUUUUUAGCGGGGAAUAGCCCAGGGAAACUUGGAUUAAUGCCCCAUAGUAUAUAGACUUCUCCUGAAGUUUAUAUUAAACAUUUAUGGCUAUUAGAUGGGUAUGCGUCCUAUUAGUUAGUUGGUAAGGUAACGGCUUACCAAGGCAGCGAUAGGUAGGGGUCCUGAGAGGGAGACUCCCCACACUGGUACUGAGACACGGACCAGACUCCUACGGGGAGGCAGCAGUGAGGAAUAUUGGACAAGUGGGCGAGAGCCUGAUCCAGCCAUGCCGCGUGCAGGAAGACUCGCCCUAGUGGGUUAGUAAACUGUCUUUUACAGAGGAAGAACCCACCCCCACGUGUGGGGGUUUGACGGUACUCUGCGAAUAAGGAUCGGCUAACUCCGUG
This 497-nucleotide ribosomal RNA is filed under the name uncultured bacterium. Its description in RNAcentral is "bacterial SSU rRNA". It matches the Rfam family "Bacterial small subunit ribosomal RNA", at positions 28 to 507 of the family's 1533-position model. The record is from RNAcentral.